This 285-nucleotide non-coding RNA is filed under the name Macleaya cordata. RNAcentral describes it as "Bacterial large subunit ribosomal RNA". It matches the Rfam family "Bacterial large subunit ribosomal RNA", at positions 948 to 1231 of the family's 2925-position model. The record is from Rfam by way of RNAcentral. Lineage: Eukaryota; Viridiplantae; Streptophyta; Magnoliopsida; Ranunculales; Papaveraceae.
UCGAAAGUGGUGAUUCAAGCAAUCAAUGGAGAAGGAAUUUCUCCAUGGAGGACAUUCAUCGUCGAGAGGGAAACAGCCCGGAUCACCAGCUAAGGCCCCUAAAUGCUCAGUGAUAAAGGACGUAGGGGUGCAAAGGCAGCCAGGAGGUUUGCUUAGAAGUAGCCAUCACCCUUGAAAGAUUGCGUAAUAGCUCACUGAUCAAGUGACUCUAUUCUUUCACUGUUUAUGUAUUCAGUCAACUUCCAAUCAAUUUUUGAUAAUGUUAAAAAAUUUAGAAUGGGCAGA